UGCGUAGGCGGUUAUCUAAGUCAGGUGUGAAAUCUCUCGGCUCAACCGGGAAACUGCGCUUGAAACUGGGUGACUGGAGGGAUGCAGGGGUGUGUGGAACUUCCGGUGGAGCGGUGAAAUGUGUAGAUAUCGGAAGGAACGCCAGCAGCGAAAGCGGCACACUGGGCAUUUACUGACGCUGAGGCACGAAAGCUAGGGGAGUGAACGGGAUUAGAUACCCCGGUAAUCCUAGCCGUAAACACUGAGCACUGGAGGAGGGAGGUUUCGGCCUUCUUUCUCGUAGCGAAAGCGUUAAGUGCUCCGCCUGGGGAGUAUGGUCGCAAGGCUGAA
This 330-nucleotide ribosomal RNA is filed under the name uncultured Planctomycetota bacterium. RNAcentral's name for it is "bacterial SSU rRNA". It matches the Rfam family "Bacterial small subunit ribosomal RNA", at positions 568 to 898 of the family's 1533-position model. Lineage: Bacteria; Pseudomonadati; Planctomycetota. The record is from RNAcentral.